This 875-nucleotide ribosomal RNA is filed under the name Wickerhamiella versatilis. RNAcentral describes it as "LSU rRNA". It matches the Rfam family "Eukaryotic large subunit ribosomal RNA", at positions 36 to 980 of the family's 3401-position model. The record is from RNAcentral. Lineage: Eukaryota; Fungi; Ascomycota; Dipodascomycetes; Dipodascales; Trichomonascaceae.
AAGCAUAUCAAUAAGCGGAGGAAAAGAAACCAACAGGGAUUGCCCUAGUAACGGCGAGUGAAGCGGCAAAAGCCCAAAUUUGAAAUCCUCUUUUGAGGAGUUGUAAUUUGGAGAUGGAGUGCUGGACUCAGCUCUGUGGAAGUUGGCUGGAAAGCCGCGCCUUGGAGGGUGAUAGCCCCGUGCCACGGAGGUCCUGUGUCUGUGUAGUACUCUUUCUACGAGUCGCGUUGUUUGGGAAUGCAGCGCUAAGUGGGUGGUAAAUUCCAUCUAAGGCUAAAUAUUGGCGAGAGACCGAUAGCGAACAAGUACUGUAAAGGAAAGAUGAAAAGCACUUUGAAAAGAGAGUGAAAUAGCACGUGAAAUCGUUGAAGUGGAAGGGCUUAAAGCUACACACCUUCUUCGGAAGGGGCUAACAUCAGUUUUGCCGGAUGGAUAAAUGGUAAAGAAAGUGGCAUUUUCGGAUGUGUUAUAGCUUUAUCAAAUACAUCCCGGCGGGAUUGAGGACCGCGCUUUAUGCAAGGAUGUUGGCGUAAUGGUUUUAAGCCACCCGUCUUGAAACACGGACCAAGGAGUCUAUUGCUCAUGCGAGUGUUUGGGUGUUAAACUCGCAACGCGAAAUGAAAGUGAACGUAGAUUGGACCCGUUUGGUGCACAAUCGACCGAUCCUGAUGUUCUCGGAUGGAUUUGAGUAAGAGCAUGAGUGAUGGGACCCGAUAGAUGGUGAACUAUACCUGGUCAGGGUGAAGCCAGAGGAAACUCUGGUGGAAGCUCGCCGCAGUCCUGACGUGCAAAUCGGUUGUCAAAGCUGGGUAUAGGGGCGAAAGACUAAUCGAACCAUCUAGUAGCUGGUUCCUGCCGAAGUUUCCCUCAGGAAA